Non-coding RNA from Chelonoidis abingdonii (Abingdon island giant tortoise), 317 nucleotides. The record is from RefSeq and is a predicted model, not a curated record. NCBI's taxonomy places the organism in Eukaryota, Metazoa, Chordata, Testudines, Testudinidae.
UUCCCCUGUUUGAAAUUAAAUCCACAGUGUUGGGCCGUUGAGAUGUUCUUCCUGCCAGAGGCAUGUUAAAUGUUAUUAUAUUAUGGUCACUAUUUCUAAGUGGUCCUGUUAUAGUUACUUCUUGGACCAGCUCCUGCGCUCCACUCGGACUAAAUCUAGAGCUGUCUCUCCACUUGUGGGUUCCUGUACCAGCUGCUCCAAUAAGAAGUAAUUUAAAGCAUAGAGAAAUUUUGUGUCUGCAUUUUGUCCCGAGGUGACAUGUUCCCAGUCAAUAUGGGGAUAAUUGAAAUUCCCGACUAUUAUUGAGUUCUUAAUUU